GACGAACGCUGGCGGCGUGCUUAACACAUGCAAGUCGAACGGCACUCAACCAGUGGCAACACUGGGGAAAGUGCAGUGGCGAACGGGUGAGUAACACGUGAGCAACCUGCCUCGAAGACUGGGAUAACAGCGGGAAACCGCUGCUAAUACCGGAUGCCCUCCUUGGACCGCAUGAUCCGAGGAGGAAAUGGAUUCCGCUCCGGGAGGGCCUCGCGGCCUAUCAGCUUGUUGGUGGGGUAACGGCCCACCAAGGCGUCGACGGGUAGCUGGUCUGAGAGGACGAUCAGCCACACUGGGACUGAGACACGGCCCAGACUCCUACGGGAGGCAGAAGUAGGGAAUCUUGCCCAAUGGGCGAAAGCCUGAGGCAGCAACGCCGCGUGGGGGAUGAAGGCUCUCGGGUUGUAAACCCCUUUCAGCAGGGACGAAACUGACGGUACCUGCAGAAGAAGCCCCGGCCAACUACGUGCCAGCAGCCGCGGUAACACGUAGGGGGCGAGCGUUGUCCGGAUUUAUUGGGCGUAAAGAGCUCGUAGGCGGCUCAGUUAGUCGGGUGUGAAACCUCCAGGCUCAACCUGGAGACGCCACCCGAUACUGCUGUGGCUAGAGUCCGGUAGGGGAGCGUGGAAUUCCUGGUGUAGCGGUGAAAUGCGCAGAUAUCAGGAGGAACACCAGCGGCGAAGGCGGCGCUCUGGGCCGGAACUGACGCUGAGGAGCGAAAGCGUGGGGAGCGAACAGGAUUAGAUACCCUGGUAGUCCACGCUGUAAACGUUGGGCACUAGGUGUGGG
RNAcentral lists this ribosomal RNA (789 nucleotides) under uncultured Actinomycetes bacterium. RNAcentral describes it as "bacterial SSU rRNA". It matches the Rfam family "Bacterial small subunit ribosomal RNA", at positions 28 to 826 of the family's 1533-position model. Lineage: Bacteria; Bacillati; Actinomycetota; Actinomycetes. The record is from RNAcentral.